CACUUGGAAUACUUAAGGGUGUGAUUGGCCAUCGCUAUUGAAGAACAAAAUCUGCCACCUAUUCAGCUUUGUCUACAUUGGCAUAAUUUCAGAUACCCUCAACAUUGGCAUCUUUUGGAUGGUAUAUUGUGGACAAUCCCAUUCAGCUCUGUCUACAUUUUGGAUAGUAUAUUGUUGCUUGCACUUUCGAGAUUUUAAUAGCCUCAAAUCAAUGUAAUUAUUGUUGCAAGGAUUGAUUAAGUUUCCACUGCAGACAAAAGAAAAAACAAGAUUUUGUUAUGAUUAUGGGAAAUGCUUUAAUGGGAGAUUGAUUAAAUUUGGGUAAUUUCUCUGUUUUGUUGCGUUAACCAAUUUCUUGUUGAGCUUUCAGUUAAUUGUCUGCACAGAACAAAAAACAAAAUGGAAAAGGU
This 410-nucleotide long non-coding RNA is filed under the name Olea europaea (common olive). RNAcentral's name for it is "long non-coding RNA (OEUR_LNC000181)". Lineage: Eukaryota; Viridiplantae; Streptophyta; Magnoliopsida; Lamiales; Oleaceae. The record is from RNAcentral.